This 443-nucleotide ribosomal RNA is filed under the name uncultured Sphingomonadaceae bacterium. RNAcentral's name for it is "bacterial SSU rRNA". It matches the Rfam family "Bacterial small subunit ribosomal RNA", at positions 335 to 795 of the family's 1533-position model. Lineage: Bacteria; Pseudomonadati; Pseudomonadota; Alphaproteobacteria; Sphingomonadales; Sphingomonadaceae. The record is from RNAcentral.
AGGCCUACGGGAGGCUGCAGUGGGGAAUAUUGGACAAUGGGCGAAAGCCUGAUCCAGCAAUGCCGCGUGAGUGAUGAAGGCCCUAGGGUUGUAAAGCUCUUUUACCCGGGAUGAUAAUGACAGUACCGGGAGAAUAAGCUCCGGCUAACUCCGUGCCAGCAGCCGCGGUAAUACGGAGGGAGCUAGCGUUGUUCGGAAUUACUGGGCGUAAAGCGCACGUAGGCGGCUAUUCAAGUCAGGGGUGAAAUCCCGGGGCUCAACCUCGGAACUGCCCUUGAAACUGGAUGGCUAGAAUCCUGGAGAUGCGAGUGGAAUUCCGAGUGUAGAGGUGAAAUUCGUAGAUAUUCGGAAGAACACCAGUGGCGAAGGCGACUCGCUGGACAGGUAUUGACGCUGAGGUGCGAAAGCGUGGGGAGCAAACAGGAUUAGAUACCCCUGUAGUC